GGUUAAGUGAAUAAGGGCGCACGGUGGAUGCCUUGGCACUAGGAGCCGAUGAAGGACGGGACUAACACCGAUAUGCUUUGGGGAGCUGUAAGUAAGCUAUGAUCCAGAGAUUUCCGAAUGGGGGAACCCAGCAUCUUUUAUAGGAUGUUACUUUUCAGUGAAUACAUAGCUGAUUAGAGGUAGACGCAGAGAACUGAAACAUCUAAGUACCUGCAGGAAGAGAAAGAAAAUUCGAUUCCCUGAGUAGCGGCGAGCGAAACGGGAAAAGCCCAAACCAAGAUGCUUGCAUCUUGGGGUUGUAGGACUCCAAUAUGGUAGUACGAUCAGAUAGUCGAAUGACUUGGAAAAGUCAGUCAAAGAGGGUAAAAACCCCGUAGACGAAAUUUGGUAUGCACCUAGGAGGAUCCUGAGUACGGCGGAACACGAGAAAUUCCGUCGGAAUCCGGGAGGACCAUCUCCCAAGGCUAAAUACUCCCUAGUGACCGAUAGUGAACCAGUACCGUGAGGGAAAGGUGAAAAGCACCCCGGAAGGGGAGUGAAAUAGAUCCUGAAACCGUGUGCCUACAACAAGUCAAAGCCCGUUAAUGGGUGAUGGCGUGCCUUUUGUAGAAUGAACCGGCGAGUUACGAUUGCAUGCGAGGUUAAGCUGAAGAGGCGGAGCCGUAGCGAAAGCGAGUCUGAAUAGGGCGUUUUAGUAUGUAGUCGUAGACCCGAAACCAUGUGAUCUACCCAUGUCCAGGUUGAAGGUGCGGUAAAACGCACUGGAGGACCGAACCCACGUACGUUGAAAAGUGCGGGGAUGAGGUGUGGGUAGCGGAGAAAUUCCAAUCGAACUUGGAGAUAGCUGGUUCUCUCCGAAAUAGCUUUAGGGCUAGCCUCGGAUUUAAGAAUGAUGGAGGUAGAGCACUGUUUGGACUAGGGGCCCAUCUCGGGUUACCGAAUUCAGAUAAACUCCGAAUGCCAUUCAUUUAUAUCCGGGAGUCAGACUGUGAGUGAUAAGAUCCAUAGUCGAAAGGGAAACAGCCCAGACCACCAGCUAAGGUCCCAAAAUAUAUGUUAAGUGGAAAAGGAUGUGGGGUUGCACAGACAACUAGGAUGUUGGCUCAGAAGCAGCCACCAUUUAAAGAGUGCGUAAUAGCUCACUAGUCGAGUGACCCUGCGCCGAAAAUGUACCGGGGCUAAACAUAUUACCGAAGCUGUGGAGUGUACCUUUGGUACACUGGUAGGAGAGCGUUCUAAGGGCGUUGAAGGUAGACCGUGAGGACUGCUGGAGCGCUUAGAAGUGAGAAUGCCGGUAUGAGUAGCGAAAGACAGGUGAGAAUCCUGUCCACCGAAUGACUAAGGUUUCCUGGGGAAGGCUCGUCCGCCCAGGGUUAGUCGGGACCUAAGCCGAGGCCGACAGGCGUAGGCGAUGGACAACAGGUUGAUAUUCCUGUACUCGUUGUUUUUGUUUGAGCAAUGGAGGGACGCAGGAGGCUAAGGAAUGCAGACGAUCGGAAAUGUCUGUCCAAGCAACAAGUCUUAGUGAGAGUCAAAUGCUUUCACUUUCAAGGACAAGUUGUGAUGGGGAGGGAAAUAAUAGUACCGAAGUUCCUGAUGUCACACUGCCAAGAAAAGCUUCUAGUA
Enterococcus sulfureus ATCC 49903 is the source of this 1626-nucleotide ribosomal RNA. It matches the Rfam family "Bacterial large subunit ribosomal RNA", at positions 1 to 1627 of the family's 2925-position model. The record is from Rfam. NCBI's taxonomy places the organism in Bacteria, Bacillati, Bacillota, Bacilli, Lactobacillales, Enterococcaceae.